This is an RNA transcript of Bombina bombina (fire-bellied toad), 2073 nucleotides long. It is a transcript of the gene named cytochrome P450 2G1, with no coding region annotated. The transcript is spliced from 10 exons. The record is from RefSeq and is a predicted model, not a curated record. NCBI's taxonomy places the organism in Eukaryota, Metazoa, Chordata, Amphibia, Anura, Bombinatoridae.
AUGGCGUAACAGCUUCCUAACUUGGAUCACAGGCUGGAGGGCGUGCCUAGCGUCAUAGGCACCCCCCCUGACCCGAUCCCAUUGCAUGCACGAUUCCGUGAUUUCAAUCUUUACUUAUUUUUGUAACAUCUGAACUUUGUUUACAUCAGAACUUUGUUUACUUUAGAACUUUGUUUACGUUAGAACUUUGUUUACGUUAGAACUUUGUUCCGACGUAGACAAAUAAGACAAAUAGGCACCCGCGUGAAAGGGUUAAACAACAUUAGAGACUUGAUAUUCUGUUUUCUGUGCUCCACCUACCAUUUCUUAAUCUCUAUCCUUCCCUUAUAUAAACAAUUUAUAAAUCACAAAAUUCACAUAAGCAUAGUCUAUCUGCUACCACAUUACAAUGAACAUGGAUUUCUCCGCAGGUUGGACACUUGUCUUUGUUAUAUUAACGUCUUUACUCAUCUUUUUCUUGAGUUUCAAGACAAUUUGCAAGAGGGGGAAUCUCCCCCCUGGACCCACUCCACUACCAAUAUUGGGGAAUAUUCUUCAGCUGAAAGGAGGGGAAAUGGCAAAAUGCGUAUUAGAGUUGAGAAAAAAAUAUGGCGAUCUAUUCACGGUCUACUUUGGGUCACGCCCAGUGGUGAUUGUAUCUGGAUACAAGAUGGUAAAAGAGAUCCUGGUAGAGAGAGGGGAUGAAUUUCUGGCACGAGGAGAUAUGCCUACCUUUGACACAUACUACAAAAAUUAUGGGUUUGCAUUUACUAAUGACAUGAACAGGUGGAAAGAUUUACGGCGUUUCUCGCUUAUUACUCUUCGGGACUUCGGCAUGGGAAAAAGAAGUGUAGAAGACCGAAUAAUCGACGAGGCGAGAUGUUUGGUUGUUGAAUUAAAGAAUACAAAAGAAUCUUUUCUUAAUCCCCGUCAGUUCUUCAACCAGGCAGCGUGCAACAUCAUCUUUUCUAUAAUGUUUGGUAACCGAUGUGAUUACGAGAAUGAAGACCUUAAUGCAGUUUUAACCUAUAUUUAUGAAACGUUUGUACUCAUAAGCUCGAUUUGGGGGCAGAUUUUUGAUAUGUUCCCGAGACUUAUGCGCAUUCUUCCAGGGCCUCACACAAAGAUUCUUAGUCACCUGGAAAAGCUUCUGAAGUUUGUAGAGAAAAAGGUUAAAAUUAACCAGGAGACUCUGGAUCCAAAUAACCCAAGGGACUAUGUUGAUGUUUUUCUUAUUAAACUAGAGAAGGAAAAAAAUGACCCACAUACUGAUUUUAACAUGACCAAUUUGAUAUGCAGCACCCUACAGAUUUUCUUUGCUGGAGUAGAGACCAUUAGUACUACACUUACAUAUUCUUUAUUGAUCCUCAUGAAAUACCCAAAGAUUUUAGCUAAUGUCCAGGAUGAGAUUGACAAAGUCAUUGGCCAAAAUCGUGUCCCAAAACUGCAGGACAGGAAUCAGAUGCCAUACACUGAAGCUGUGAUCCAUGAGAUUCAAAGAUACAUUGAUCUCAUUCCAAUGGGUGCUCCAAGGAAGACUACUCAAGAUGUGCAAUUUAAAGGAUACACCCUACCUAAGGGCACAAAUGUGUUUCCUAUGCUUGGCUCUGUGCUGAGAGACCCGGCCUGCUUCCCGUACCCUACAGAAUUCAAUCCACAAAAUUUUCUGACACAAAAUGGUGACUUCCAAAAGAAUGAUGCUUUCAUGCCUCUGUCUGCAGCUAUAUGUUGUGCAAUGAAGAGGCACAAGCAGAUCUGCCCACCAUUAAACAACAUGCUGCGCCAUUUACUGGAUGCAAGUGAUUAAGAUCAUUGCAUGGCACAUUAACUGCUUAUUUGAGGCAGUCCUAUUUCGGCUGAACCAAUCCAGCGAGAGGCAUUAGAAAACGAAUCUGUGUCGGGGAAGCCUUGGUCCGCACGGAACUCUUCCUAUUCUUUGUCACUAUCCUACAAAACUUUGACCUGAAGUCUCCUGUCCCAAGAGAGGAGUUAGACAUUACUCCAGAAGUGUCUGGACUGGGAAAUUUCCCCAAACCUUACAAAGUAGCUUUAAUUUCUCGUUAAUUGGUGAUAAAUGAAAUUCUAACAUUGUAA